GACGAACGCUGGCGGCGUGCUUAACACAUGCAAGUCGAACGGUGAAGGGACCAGCUUGCUGGUUCUGGAUGAGUGGCGAACGGGUGAGCAACACGUGAGUAACCUGCCCCCUUCUUCUGGAUAACCGCAUGAAAGUGUGGCUAAUACGGGAUAUUCUGGGUCUGUCGCAUGGCGGGCCCGGGAAAGAUAUUGCUUCGGUGGGGGAUGGGCUCGCGGCCUAUCAGCUUGUUGGUGGGGUGAUGGCCUACCAAGGCGGUGACGGGUAGCCGGCCUGAGAGGGGGGACGGUGACACGGGGACUGAGACACGGCCCAGACUCCUACGGGAGGCAGCAGUGGGGAAUAUUGCACAAUGGGCGCAAGCCUGAUGCAGCGACGCCGCGUGAGGGAGGGAGGCCUUCGGGUUGUAAACCUCUUUCGCCAGUGAAGCAGGCCUGCUCCUUGUGGGUGGGUUGACGGUAGCUGGAUAAGAAGCGCCGGCUAACUACGUG
This 489-nucleotide ribosomal RNA is filed under the name uncultured bacterium. RNAcentral's name for it is "partial 16S ribosomal RNA". It matches the Rfam family "Bacterial small subunit ribosomal RNA", at positions 28 to 507 of the family's 1533-position model. The record is from RNAcentral.